CCCUAAGCCACCACAGUCUAUUAGUUUUGUUUUGUUUUUUUGGUACCGGGGAUUGAACUCUGGACCUUGCACUUGCGAGGCAGGCGCCAGAACCACUGAGCUAAAUCCCCAGCCCUAUUAGUUUUUAUUUAGGUCAUCAAGAAGCUGUUGAGGCCUCAAUUAUUCGGUCGAAGCACAGGAACAGGGAGACAUUUUAGACGAGAGAACACAUAGUCAUGAAGGAUCCACGGGGGAUCGCAAAGACCUGCCUCCCAGUGGACGCCCCGGGAGUUUGGCCGGCUUCCCCUGAUCAGGCUAAGGCUGCCUGUGGUGACGCACUGCUGAGCACUUCCGUGGGGCUUUGCUGUCCCUGCAUGAGGAGCAAACCCUGAGGUCCUGUGCUGGGCAGUUUACCGCUGAAGUCUGCUCAGUGUGACGGUAAAUAACAGCCCCUUUCCGAGUCCACAGCACACUGAAAAGAUCCUCUUUUGUUGCCAGUUCAGAGAGUCCAGGUGUUCGAGUAUCAGAGUGUUCCAUCUCGUUUCCCUUUGGAGUUGCUGUAGGUGAUCUGGAAGUCUGUUUUUGAGGCUUGUUUAUGUGUCUCCUCAUUUCCACAGGUGGGGGGGGUGCUUCUGGCACCCGUGCAGCUCACCUUCUCUGCCCUAGGAGCUUGGGAUGGCGGCUGGGGAGCUUCCUUCUGGGUGCUGGGACCGGCUGAGCUUCUUUGCCCUAGCAGCCUGGGAUGGAGGUAGGGGAGCUUCCUUCGGGGUGCAGGGACCAGCUCACCUUCUUAGCCCUAGGAGCCUGGGAUGGCAGUGGGGGAGCUUCCUUCCGGGUUCUGGGACUGGCUGAGCUUCACUGCCCUUAAGGAUGUAGUUCAUACAAUAGGAAAUACACGGAAUUUAGUUUUUAGGUGUUUAAACUAGUAAGGCCAGAAAAUGUCGAUAUAUUCAACAUAUUUAAUUUCCUGAGAGUCCCUGUUACGUUCAAGAAAGCAGGAUAGUUUGGGGAUGUAUUCCUAACACCUGGGUAUAUUAGUCAGAACCACUCUUGUUGCAAGUGAUAAAAAUUGAAACUAAUGACCUGGAAAAAAAAAUAAAAGAGGUAAACCUAGGUUGGUGUAGUUGGGGACAGCGGUCAAAGAGAUUGCGAGGACUCAUGAAUCUCACCGCUUCCCCUCCUCUCAGCUCUGUUGUAUUCUGUGCUUCUCUCAUCCUGAGGCUGCUUCUCAUGUGGAGCAAAGGUGGCCUGAGGACAAGGAGGGGAAGUGGAAGAAACCUGGAUUUUCUGUGUUCCGGAAGUCCCUGAAGUUCUGAGUCCCCUUCCUUCCAGUGCCCUUGUCAACUCCUGAAGAAGGGUUCUGAGGGCAGAGUGCCUACCCAGCAGGUGUAAGGACCUGGCUUCCCACCUCAGCACCACAAACAGACAAACAAAACAAAACAGGACUCUGAGAUGCCCAUCUCUGAAUCCUUCACUGUUACCAGGAAGUUGAAGUACUGCGUCCUGCCCGAUCAGAGACAAAACAGCUAAACAGCUGGGGACUCCAGGAGCCAGGAUGGGGGAGCAGUCACCCUCCCCAGAGCUACAGAACUGAGGAUGAAGUGGGGGUCACUUACCAAACCAUGACUGGGAAAGAAGAGGGAACCCACUAUCUGCUUUCUCUAUGGAAAUGCUGUGUGACUGGUUUCCAGUUGUCCUAGGAGCAUAGGAUGACUUCUCAGUACCGGGGCUCUUCCUCCUCCCAUCUUUGGAUCACCUCCUCCUGGUUGGUGUGGCAGGAUCGACUUCCAAACAUGGCAGAAGCCACAGUACGCCACUUCUGGGAUUAGGUUCCACAGGCUGCAGGUCCCAUCUUGGAUUCUCUUCAUUUUUCUGGAUUUCUCUUGAAUGUUUCCUCUGGGAAAUGCCAGCCACUGCAUUGUGAGUCAGCCCUGUGGAGAGGCCCAUAGACAGGAGCUCUCCAAGACUAACAAUGGUCAAGUGGACUCUGCCCUCCCAGUCUGGCCUUCAAGGGUGACCUCAGGUGUGGAUGACAGCUUGAACACAGCCUCCUGAGAAACCAGUGCCAGAAGUACUCAGGAAAGAGUUCCUGACCUCCAGAACCUCCCCAAAGCAGAGAUACCACAUUUUGUUUUUAUAAUGCACUAAGUUUGGGGGCAGUUUGUUCCAUAGCAGUAGAUAACUACUACACUAUGGUUGGUAGAAUUAAGCA
Long non-coding RNA from Heterocephalus glaber (naked mole-rat), 2191 nucleotides. The record is from Ensembl. Lineage: Eukaryota; Metazoa; Chordata; Mammalia; Rodentia; Bathyergidae.